Molecule: small RNA, 28 nt
Filed under: Bombyx mori (domestic silkworm)
Lineage: Eukaryota; Metazoa; Arthropoda; Insecta; Lepidoptera; Bombycidae
Description: ovarian small RNA-36775
Source: RNAcentral
UUAUAAAUACAUAGCACCCUCUCACACA